Molecule: ribosomal RNA, 497 nt
Filed under: uncultured bacterium
Lineage: Bacteria
Description: partial 16S ribosomal RNA
Rfam family: Bacterial small subunit ribosomal RNA
Source: RNAcentral
GAUGAACGCUGGCGGCGUGCCUAAUACAUGCAAGUCGAGCGAACGGACGAGAAGCUUGCUUCUCUGAUGUUAGCGGCGGACGGGUGAGUAACACGUGGAUAACCUACCUAUAAGACUGGGAUAACUUCGGGAAACCGGAGCUAAUACCGGAUAAUAUUUUGAACCGCAUGGUUCAAAAGUGAAAGACGGUCUUGCUGUCACUUAUAGAUGGAUCCGCGCUGCAUUAGCUAGUUGGUAAGGUAACGGCUUACCAAGGCAACGAUGCAUAGCCGACCUGAGAGGGUGAUCGGCCACACUGGAACUGAGACACGGUCCAGACGCCUACGGGAGGCAGCAGUAGGGAAUCUUCCGCAAUGGGCGAAGGCCUGACGGAGCAACGCCGCGUGAGUGAUGAAGGUCUUCGGAUCGUAAAACCCUGUUAUUAGGGAAGAACAUAUGUGUAAGUAACUGUGCACAUCUUGACGGUACCUAAUCAGAAAGCCACGGCUAACUACGUG